UACGUAGGGUGCGAGCGUUAAUCGGAAUUACUGGGCGUAAAGCGUGCGCAGGCGGUUUGUUAAGACAGAUGUGAAAUCCCCGGGCUUAACCUGGGAACUGCAUUUGUGACUGGCAAGCUAGAGUAUGGCAGAGGGGGGUAGAAUUCCACGUGUAGCAGUGAAAUGCGUAGAGAUGUGGAGGAACACCGAUGGCGAAGGCAAUCCCCUGGGCCUGCACUGACGCUCAUGCACGAAAGCGUGGGGAGCAAACAGG
This 253-nucleotide ribosomal RNA is filed under the name uncultured bacterium. RNAcentral describes it as "partial 16S ribosomal RNA". It matches the Rfam family "Bacterial small subunit ribosomal RNA", at positions 524 to 776 of the family's 1533-position model. The record is from RNAcentral.